RNAcentral lists this long non-coding RNA (6113 nucleotides) under Haliotis rufescens (red abalone). Its description in RNAcentral is "uncharacterized LOC124112098". Lineage: Eukaryota; Metazoa; Mollusca; Gastropoda; Lepetellida; Haliotidae. The record is from RNAcentral.
UAAAAAACUCAAAUGUAUAAAAACAGCAUGCGUAAGUACCCAAUGAAGCUUUUUCAGCAAGCAUACAGCGGAGCUAAUUUACAAAACACAAUUACGAGCUAAUUUGCUUUCCGAGUCAAGCCUAUUUUUAGAACCGUUAUAUACUGCAGAAUGUGCUACUUGAUAGUGCUUCCUCUCAUUUUGAUGGUCGUAAAUACGUCGCUGUCACAAGCUUGAAAUGAAUUCCAGACACGUGACUUCCUGUUAUCAACCACACAUGUUGGGAGGUUCCUUUCACCGGGGAAGAAAAUCAGUGCAGCAAACAACACAGAAAAAUAGGUUGUUUGCUUACAUGACAGUAAAUGUAAAACGUGAAACCAAUCCAAAUUAGGAAAAUAUUUCGGAUGAAGAUAUUUCCAUGCGUACAAUCUCUGACUGGUUGGUAAAUGCUGUUUUGAUACCAGUUAUUAAAAAAAUGACACACUGUCAUUUUAAACGAACAAUCACAGAAUGGAAAACAAUGUUUCUAUGGCAUAUUUUUGAAAAUAAGGGUGAAACACUUGAUGAGCUACAGUUUGUGUAGCAUUUAGGGGGCAUGGGUGGCCCAGUCAUCUUAGGCGCCACAAUUUGCUGUGCAGAGUUUCGUCCCUUGGCGACGCCAGAAACCUAUGAUUGUGGGUUCGAAUCCCGGUUCGCCCAGAUUAUGUUUCUAGGUUUGUCAUCACCAUUCAAAAGUCCAGUAUUACUAGACACAACGAAAUGACUUUUGUUUUAUUAUUUUAUUUUAGAUAUUUAUUUUAGAUAUCAGUGAGUAAAUAUAUCAGAUAAAUCACCUCCUGAAGAAAAUACUGCAGUUGGCGUGGUCCGAGUUGCUUAGCAGAACAUUUUCAAACAUGGUGGUAUUUUUUUCAAUUAUAUGUCAGUGCCUGCAAUCCAAAUAACACAACAUUAAUAGAUACAUGGAGUAUUGAAUCUUCCUCAGGUGCAUAAUCCACAUGGAAUUGGGGUCGUGACAUCCAUGAUCAAUGGUCCACUGUCAACUGAUCAGUGUCAGAUGUCAUGUUUUGGGUAAACAGAGAACACCUUUGUCAAUUGGUCACCAGUGUUCGCAGUAAUUGACUGUUCCAUGUCAUGUAUUUAGUGUCACAGAGGUACUCAACCUAAGGUUGUCUCAACAAAGUGAAGUAUUGUCCAGCUCUUGUUCAUGUUGGAUAUGACUUGAGACUGUGACUUGAGACUGUGACCACAACAAUGCGCAAUGCAUUUGUUAGACGUCCUGUUUGUCUUACCUACUAAUUAAUGAGCUGCUCCAAACUGGGGGCAGAGUAAGCUACUCCAUCUUGUUAAGUGAUACAGAUUAACCAAAUUAUGAUUGUGUUAAUGAGUUGUGUUUGAUCUGUGUCGGAUUGCGUUUGUUUUUGAGUAGUUUUUUCAGUGAUAUAGACUAUAUUCGUCAGUUAUUUAUACCCUCUCUUAACGUGAGGGUUUGACCCAAUGUCUACCCUCGUUGACCACCGCUUGCCCAGGUGAAUGGCGCUGUCAAUAUGAAAUGAGUUAUUAUGUGGGUCACCAUGGGAGUAUCCCGUUUUAUGUAUGUUUUGUUCAUUGUAAGUGACUGUCACAGGAUACAUAUUUUAUUCCAUCCCAAGAAACCUGAAUGGUGACGAAGAAGUUUUUGAAUAGGCUAUCAACCGACUUGGCUUCGGACACAGAAUUCUAAAGUAUCCAGUAGGCAUUUCGUCAAGGGGCGCUAGAGUGAAAACAGCUUCAUUUUAGAACCAAGAACUGACAAGAUCCGUGAACAAGUGUAGCCCCAGAUCAAGCGUGGUAUGUCAACUUGACCUUCUAGUUGGCGAUCUGCCAAGGGAAAUGUGCCACUGUAGUGAGGACUUGCUUAAAGAUGUCUCGCACCACUGCCAUCCACCUACAGAUCCGACUCGUGUCCAGGUCGUCAGUACUUUGAGGAACCGGGCCAGGGAAGAAGCAGCACCUGUCCAGGCUGUCUACACCUGAUCAGUUCGACGCACCGUUGAGGCAUGCUGUCGAUCAGAUGUUGGAAGAACGGUUGUGGAAAACCUGCCGCUCUACCCGAAGGAACUGGGCCAAUUCUUGAAGGGAAUCAGCUUGUCUAUGAUUGUCUCUCACUCGUCUGCCCAAGUCAUCCCAUGCAUGCUUAAUCGGUGCCAAAUCAGGCGAGUAUGCAGGCCAAUCCAUUCGUUCAAUCCAUGUCAUUUUGGUUGAGAAAAGUAUUCACAAGCCUGGCACAAUGGGUCUAGCAUUGUCAUCUUGAAUAAUCGAACCAACUCCAAUGUGGCAAAGAGUGGGAACAUCAAGAUGUCUCUGUAUCUGAUACCGGUCAAAUUUCCUUGGACGACAUAAAGAGUAGUCCUGUGGUGCAUAAACAUUCCUCCCCAAACCAUCACUGAACCGUAGCUAAAACGAUCACGCUGUCUCGUAAAUCUCUCCAGGUCGUAGGUAGACACAAAUUCUGCCAUCAUUCAAUUGUAAAGCAAACCUGGAUUCAUCCGUGAAGAGUACCUUGCCACUGACGACAUGCCCAGGCUCUGUGACAUGUGCACCAGACCCUGAAUGCUGUCCUAUGACCUUGAAGAAGAGUUGGUUGAAUUGCUUGCCGCCGCGAUCAAUUGUUGUUUGCUCCCAAACAAUUCCGUAUGGUCUGGUCUGACACCUGAAAACCAGUUACAUGUCGCAGUUCAUCUCUCAGAUGUCUAGCUGUGAUAGGUCGUUGACGUUAUGCCAUGUAUUGGAUACACCAGUCAUCAUGCUGUGAUGUUGAUCUUGGCCUACCUGAGUGGGGAUGAUUCUGAAUGGAAUUGGUGGCUCGCUGCCAUAGUCUACCAAUCACACUUUGGCUUCAUUCCUCUCUGAAUAACCAUCCUGCAGCCAUGCAGUGUCUCUUCCUAUAUCAACAUUGCUUAGUUAUGUCUGACCAUGAUGAAAUUACAAGUGGGAACAACACGAGCAUUGUAGCAAUUUGUAUGCCCCAAAUAUCCACGGAAAACACAGAUUGCAGGUGCAUUAACAUCAGAAACUCACGAUGAUCGGGCAACAAUGCAUUUGGCCAAUGCAAACAGUUUUGUUGACCCUUGUUUUUCAGCUUGAAUUGAUGAUUUGUCAAAGGAUUCUCACAGUCGUUGUGGUUGCCUAGUGCAUAUGAUUUGUGCACAAUGCUAAGCAUUAGGACACAUUAAACCCAUUUCAACUGCAUUUGCAAUUAGAAAUUUCUAUUUCCUAUGUUUUCUAUGUCAAAUUACCGGCAGUGCUGGAAUAUAUGUUUGGCCCUUAACUUGUUUUGAGUAGUAUACUUCAACGUGUGAUAUAACACAUGUUCAGUGUAUAUUUUGUAUAUAGUGUCUUUCUAAUGAUGUGAUUAUAAUUAAUAUCAUAUUUUAAAUAAUAUGAUAACAUUUCUGCUGUAUAAGUGUUAAGUUAAAUAUAUCCUGUAAAUAAUUCAAAAUAUGUGAUUUCUGUUGAAUACUUCAAACUGUGUGAUUUCUUGUAUGAUUUGAUGAUUAAAAAUGCAUAAUAAACCUAUCCUGUAAAUUCCUCAAAAUGUGUGUUUUCGGGUCUGUUCCACAUUAAUGAAAGGUAAACAGGUAAUUAUUGCUCGACUAACCAACCUUGACUAAUCCUGGUAUAAGCUGUCUGACAAUUGGGAGGUUACUGUUUGCUACAGCAUAAAGUUCUGAUCCUCCGAGCAUCUUAAUAAGCUGCUGUACUGUGUUUCCCAGAUAUUUUCUUUGUGUCUCAUCGCAUAUUGUGUCACAAUAUAUAUUCUGAGGGAUUGAUGGGCUCUUGUUGAAGUUCCGAUCCUCCAUGCAUCAAAUAUCUGAAACCGCAUUGUUACUCAACCAAGGAGUGUAGCUUUCCAUGGUAGAGUAAGGAUGUGACAGGGUUUAGUGAUAUGGUCACUCAUUCAGCUUAGUCUCAUCCAGAUAUAAUCCAGUGAUGGUUAGCAAUGAUGCAAGCUGCAGACCAUGCCUUCAACUGUGGGAUAACCAUUGCGCAAUAUGUUGUGUCUGGAUACAAAUUGUUUACAUGACAAUACUUAGAUAAUAUAGAUAUAAUUAUCCUGGUGCAAGUCUCAGUCCUGCCUGUCCAUCAUCCCCCAUACAGCUACAUACUGAUGAGGAGGCGGUAGGGGAUCAAAGGUAAUGCUGACUGAUAACCAAUGGCAGCAGGCGCCCAGAUGUAGAAGAGACAUGUUUUGGAUUUCUGAGUUAUAUGCUCGUGAACACCUUGAGAAUACAGUACCACAACUUCUCGUUAGAACGAUCUCUGCUCUGCAUCUGUUAGUCCAACAGCUAGCUGACCGAGCUACAUCAACACUGUUAAACUUACUGCAGAUUUACCUAGUCAUGCCUCAGACGUUAUGGAACUGAACAGAAAGGGUGGAAUAGAUGAGGGACACUUACAAAGGUUACAGGUAGGCAUGGUGUCUUGUGACUUUAGUCUGCAGACACUCAGGAUUGGCAUACUCGUCCCAUUCCGUAAUCUCUAAGAUACAGAGUGGUGAGGAAUGAGCUGUAAUGGUGCGAAAACUCCAGGCAUCAGAUGUUGAGAUCACGAGUAUGCAUGAAUGACAGGGUUUUGAUAAUUCAUUUGUUGAUUUUGUCACUGAAGAGUGUUGGAGGUAGCACUGUAAGGACAACGUGAAUCAUAGUAAGGAACAAGGAAGGCAUAGGCAUGGCUCCUGACUCCACAAAGGUGAUUCAGCUUUUGAAUCAUAACUCACUAAGUGUUGUGAGUGAAAGUGGCGUGCAUGGAAAUUCCAUGACAGUGUCCAGAACAUUUGACAUGAAACUACUUCAUCCUUCUUAGUUGAUGUUAUAGUGAGAAGAAUAAGUGCAACUGAAAUGUGAAACGAUAUAUAAAAUAAACAAGAAUACCCUGACAAAUGCAUUUACUUGCAUGCUUAGUGUCUUCGGCUACCAUGCUUGAAAAUGCAUUAGAAGUGGGUACAACCCCCUUAGACCCCCUACCCAGCUGGUAAAGACUUGUAUCAAUCCUUGUCAAUAGAGAGUGUACAGACCGGCCACGUUCAGAUAUGUGCAACGUCAAUAAAUAAAUACCUAAUAAACAACAUUCCUGUUCAUAAUAAUGAAAACUGCUGAAUCGACAUAAAAAUAUGUGUAUUAGUUCCCAUUUGUAAUCCAUUUAUCCAUACCAUCAAGUUGAAGCAAACAAACAUGUUGAAAAGAAAUGCUUUCAUAACCUGGUUCCUGCUAUAAAAUGCGCCGCAGCAGGCUAUGUUUAGUAAACAAAUAGUGAAAACUCUCAACAUCGCCGGGCAUGUUCAGUGAUAUUGUGUGUAGAGAUGAUGGAUAACUGAGAGGAGCUUAUACACACUUGAUGACCCCUGACAUCACAGUAGGGCUGGGACGAGUCCAAAUUUACUACCCGGGUGCCCAUCCCCCUGUUGCCAGACUCUACCUGGAUACCCGCUGUAAGCCUCAAGACUUAGGUACAAACUGUCCGACUGGGAAAAGUUUGACCGUAUUCCUGGAAAAAUGUGUUUAGAUACACAUUUAAAACGAUCUGGUGUAUACACUGAAGUUGACUGAAGGUUUAUUUUAUUUAAAAAUAAAAAUGUCAGCAGGAAUGGGUGUUGUAGUUAGAAAGAACUGCGAACAUUGGUGACUUGUAGUAUGACCAUGGAGUUUUAGAUCAUUUUUGUCAUUAUACAAUAUAUCACGUGACUAACCACGGGUCCAGGUAGUCCUGUGGGUAACCGGGCCCUAUUCAGUACCUACCCGACCCGAGUACCCGAGGUACCCAUCCCAGCCCUACAUCACAGGGCAUCGUUUCGCUAGUGUGUCUGGAAACAAAAUAAAAUAUUACAUCAUAGGGUAUUGUGACAUGUUUGGAAAAUUUGUGUUACUGUAUUCUAAAUGUAGGCCUAUGAUCAAAGUGAAAAAUGAAAUUGCAAUAUGUUUUGUCAGGAUAAGUAUACUAUAUCAUGAAGUCUCUGAUAGGCAUUAAGAAGUUGGGAGAACAUGAAUACAUUACACUUUUUAUAUUGAUAGCAUUAUAAAGAAUAAAAGAAGUUGCUAUCCGUAAAAAAGUGUCAUGUAUUUACAUUGAAUAUGAAUAUCCAAAUUCAUCUUAUUUUG